CAAGCUAUUUACCACAUUUUAAACAUUUCCCGGAACUGAUAGAAAUGGCUUCGAUAUCAUAAUAAAAAAUAAAAUAAAUCUUCGUUAGGUUAGUAUGUACAUUUUAAAGUCGUGUUUUAUUGCGUGUAUAGACACCGAAUGGUGAGCAUUUUGCAAGUCAACUUUUGGGGUGCAUCGGAGAGGGAGAGGUGGGUGACGCUGGGCGCGUCAUCCUUUCCGCUCCGCGGCUUUAGGGAAUGUUUUUCGAACAUGUCGAAUGAAGAUAUAACAGAGAGGUCCAUCUGUGAACCAAACGCGACAGUCGACCUCUUACCCAGUUUGUUCUGGAGGGCCUCCAGGAUGCUGUCGGAGUCGCAAAGCAUGCAGGGAGUUGUAGUGCAGAUCUGGAUGUGGUACUUGCCCACCGGCUGCCUCAGGAACAUGGUGUAGAACGUCGCUACCUCAUAGAUCCUCAUCGGAGGGACCUCAAGCACCUCGGCCACCUGGGAGAAAAAAAAGAGAAAAAAAAAGAGAGAGACACAGAGAGAGAGAGAGAGACACAGAGAGAGAGACACAGAGAGAGAGAGAGACACACAGAGAGAGAGAGAGACAAAAAACACUGUAUAUAUAUAUAUAUAUAUAUAUAUAUAUAUAUAUGACAUUUGUAAUGUCUUUAUUGUUUUGAAACUUCUGUAUGUGUGGUGUCUACUGUUAAUUUUUAUUGUUUACCUUAUUUGCUUUGGCAAUGUUAACACAUGUUUCCCAUGCCAAUAAAGCCCCUUGAAUUGAAUUGAAUUGACACAGAGAGAGAGAGAGAGACACAGAGAGAGAGAGAGACACAGAGAGAGAGAGAGACACAGAGAGAGAGAGAGACACAGAGAGAGAGAGAGACACAGAGAGAGAGAGAGACACAGAGAGAGAGAGAGAGACAGAGAGAGAGACAGAGAGAGAGAGAGAGACAGAGAGAGAGAGAGACACAGAGAGAGAGAGAGACACAGAGAGAGAGAGGGAAACAAUUCUGAAAAAUGAAGGCUCGUGGACAGGAGGAGCGUUAAUCUAAUAAUGGAUGGAGUACUGAACACACCCCAAGUCUGCACAGGUUCUGUCGAAUUAUAUUGUUCUACAAAUCGUUGCCAAACAGCAAAAAAAAAAAAUGAACAUACUCUAUUCUAAAAACAGACUGAUGCCUCAGGAUAUUGAUUGAUAGAUUGAUGAAUGAC
This is a long non-coding RNA of Oncorhynchus masou masou (cherry salmon), 1199 nucleotides long. RefSeq lists it as uncharacterized. NCBI's taxonomy places the organism in Eukaryota, Metazoa, Chordata, Actinopteri, Salmoniformes, Salmonidae. The record is from RefSeq and is a predicted model, not a curated record. The transcript is spliced from 2 exons.